RNAcentral lists this ribosomal RNA (488 nucleotides) under uncultured bacterium. RNAcentral's name for it is "bacterial SSU rRNA". It matches the Rfam family "Bacterial small subunit ribosomal RNA", at positions 28 to 526 of the family's 1533-position model. The record is from RNAcentral.
AAUGAACGUUGGCGACGUGGAUUAGGCAUGCAAGUCGAACGGGCGUAGCAAUACGCCAGUGGCGCAAGGGUGAGUAAGGCGACGGCAAUCAACCCCGAGGAUGGGUAUAGCCGCGGGAAACUGCGGGUAAUCCCCAGCGAUGUGAGGGCGUCGGCAUCGACGCUUCACCAAAAGGAUUCGUCCGCCUCGGGACGAGCCGUCGUGGUAUUAGGUCGUUGGCGGGGUAGCGGCCCACCAAGCCUUCGAUGCCUACCGGGCGUGCGAGCGCGGCCCGGCACACUGGGACUGAGACACUGCCCAGACUCCUACGGGAGGCUGCAGUCGAGAAUCUUCGGCAAUGGGCGCAAGCCUGACCGAGCGACGUCGCGUGGAGGACGAAGGCCUUCGGGUUGUAAACUCCUGUCGAGGGGGAGAAAGGCGUCGCAAGACGCUUGAUCGAUCCCUGGAGGAAGCACGGGCUAAGUUCGUGCCAGCCGCCGCAGUAAUAC